UACGAGAGGCCCAAACGUUAUUCGGAAUUACUGGGCUUAAGGAGUUCGUAGGCGGCAUUGCAAGUAGGGUGUGAAAGCCCUCGGCUCAACCGAGGAAUUGCGCUCUAAACUGCAGUGCUUGAGGAACCUAGAGGUGAGCAGAACAGAUGGUGGAGCGGUGAAAUGCGUUGAUAUCAUCUGGAAUACCGGAGGCGAAGGCGGUUCACUGGGAGUUUUCUGACGCUGAGGAACGAAAGCCAGGGUAGCGAACGGG
RNAcentral lists this ribosomal RNA (253 nucleotides) under uncultured bacterium. Its description in RNAcentral is "partial 16S ribosomal RNA". It matches the Rfam family "Bacterial small subunit ribosomal RNA", at positions 524 to 776 of the family's 1533-position model. The record is from RNAcentral.